RNAcentral lists this ribosomal RNA (544 nucleotides) under uncultured bacterium. Its description in RNAcentral is "bacterial SSU rRNA". It matches the Rfam family "Bacterial small subunit ribosomal RNA", at positions 355 to 896 of the family's 1533-position model. The record is from RNAcentral.
UGAGGAAUAUUGGUCAAUGGGCGCAAGCCUGAACCAGCCAUGCCGCGUGCAGGAUUGACUGCCCUAUGGGUUGUAAACUGCUUUUCUGCAGGAAGAAAGGUUGAGAUCCGUUCUUGAUUUGCCGGUACUGCAGGAAUAAGCAUCGGCUAACUCCGUGCCAGCAGCCGCGGUAAUACGGAGGAUGCAAGCGUUAUCCGGAUUUAUUGGGUUUAAAGGGUGAGCAGGCUGUGAUGUAAGUCAGUGGUGAAAGCCCGAGGCUUAACUUCGGGAUUGCCAUUGAAACUGCACCACUUGAGUAUAGUCGAGGACGGCGGAAUGAGUUAUGUAGCGGUGAAAUGCAUAGAUAUAACUCAGAACACCGAUUGCGGAGGCAGCUGUCUAGGCUAAUACUGACGCUGAGUCACGAAAGCGUGGGGAUCAAACAGGAUUAGAUACCCUGGUAGUCCACGCUGUAAACUAUGAUCACUCGUUGUUGGUUAUGUAAUAAUCAGCGACCAAGCGAAAGCGAUAAGUGAUCCACCUGGGGAGUACGUCGGCAACGAUG